This 1594-nucleotide long non-coding RNA is filed under the name Pogona vitticeps (central bearded dragon). RNAcentral's name for it is "lncRNA (ENSPVIG00000006721.1)". The record is from RNAcentral. Lineage: Eukaryota; Metazoa; Chordata; Lepidosauria; Squamata; Agamidae.
GUAUAUUUAUUGCGAUCUCUUUAUUUCCACCCAGAAUUCGGGCAGGGUGCCAAGAGGCCGGUAUAUAUAAAAGUAAAAUAAAACAGAAGACAAGCAAUAGUCUUGUGACUUUUCGACAUUUUAGGGACUACAAACCCCAGUGGACAGGGUUGGCUGGGGCGCAUGAUGGGGUUUGUAGUCCGAAGCCGCAGAGGGAAGAACCAGAGUCUCGAGGCUUUCGACGCCUCGGGCUCUGAAAAUGAAGCGCUGGGGAUCGAGCAGGAAGCCUAACCAGGCUCCCUUCCUCUGAAGAGUUAAAGCCAACGAGUCGUGCUUCCUAGAGAGAGACUUCUGGCGGGCGAGGAGCAGAGAGAGAGGGAUAGAGAGGAAGGAAAGGCAGGCCCUACGGCGCUGUUCCUCCUCCUCCUCCCCACUUCCGGCCCCUCCCUCCACUCGUGGGAAUUCGGGCGGGGAUUUUCCCACGCCUCCGCUUCCCCGGACCAAAGGGCGAGCGCGGGGGGUAGAGAUGGACUCCGGCUCUCCAAAAAAGUUUUGUGCUGAACCAGGGAUCCGAUCUAGGUUUUCCUCUUUGUAACCCUCGGCUUUGGCUGUGUCUUCGCAGAAGAAAAUGGAAAAGUAAAUGUAAAGUAAAGUUCAUGGUUCUCCUUCACAGCCACCUGAAUGAGCCAUUGAACCUUUCAACGUGGUGGGUCGGAAACAAACCCAAUGCAGCCACCUCAGAGUCCUGUGGUUUUUGAGGAGGUGGCCAUAUAUUUUACCAGAGGAGAAUGGGUUCUGCUGGAUGUCACUCAGAGAGAUCUGUACACCGAUGUCAUGCUGGAAAAUUAUGGGAAUUUAGCCUUCCUGGGCUGUGCUCUGGCGUUGGAGGCCAGUUCUGAGUGGCCUCUUCCUUCAGAGGGAGCGGGAAGAGCGCCUGCCCGAGCCGCACAGGUAGGGGGGGAAAGAUCGCCAGGAAGGUGAGGAAACGGCCUCCUCCUCUUUCCCUUUUCCUCCUCAAGGAGCUGCGGCUUCUUUUCUCUCUCUGUCCCACCAAGUCACCUUCCACCGAGGUGGCCGGUGCAGCCGUUCCACCCAGUCUGGCUAGAGAUGGACGGGCGUAGGAUGGUGAGAGCGGGUUCGUGCAGUGUGUCCCUGUGGAUGAUGCAUGAGGGGUGAGCCCACCUAGUGCUCCAGGGCUGAGACACGGGGCCCAAAUGAGAGAAUUGCAUGGAGAACGGGAGAGCUGGGUGCAAGGCGGAAGGUGGAUUGGACGACCCUUCCACCUUCAUAUCCCCUAAGGAGAAAGAGGUGGCUGGUUUUUAGGUUGAAGGUGCCGGAGAGAUGACUCAGGUGACCUUGAGGGUGUGUCACUCACAAGUGUGAUAGAGGUGAGAAGGAGCAAGGACGUUGCAGCCUGGUAGACAAACGUUGACAUCAAGCAGAAGAUUCUUGGUGGCUGCUGUUCCCAUAAGUAAUCUCAAGGACCGUAUCCAUCAGGAGAGGCCUUUCUCUUGGCCCCACCACCCUCACCGGUGUGUUUGGUUGGGGCACAGGAGAGGGCCUUCUCUGUGGCGGCUCCCAGAGAUUCUGGAACUCCCUCCCACUAGAGGCCAGC